AAAUACAUGCGUAUGCCUCACAACAUGCAAUAUGCGAUUCAUACAAGUAAAUCUACUGAUUCUACUUUCUAUCUCACUAUCCACAGCUCAUCCAUUUACCAUUCUAUAUCAUUGGUCAUUCUCUGUCACUCGCCAUUUUCACCUAAGGUUUCCUUUACCUUAAACAACUAUACCACCCGACUCGGUCUCGAGUCAAUCAUCCGAGGAAUACCGCGUGCAUCCAGACCUGAGGAGAGGAACCUGCCAUACACCUCAGCCUUUAAUCCACAAACCACAUCGCCUAACGGGUCGCGAAGAACUACGUACACCCGUGGUCAGGGAUCCCCCGAUGGGAGAGGAACAUGCCGCAUACACCCGCAGUNCACCUCAGCCUUUAAUCCACAAACCACAUCACCC
RNAcentral lists this long non-coding RNA (396 nucleotides) under Ananas comosus (pineapple). RNAcentral's name for it is "long non-coding RNA (ACOM_LNC001922)". The record is from RNAcentral. Lineage: Eukaryota; Viridiplantae; Streptophyta; Magnoliopsida; Poales; Bromeliaceae.